GCCUUUCAAAAUAGAAGUCGUAUUUUUUUUUCAGAGUUCUGGAACUUAGAAGAACAAGACCCAGGUGUCGCAGGUCCUCGCUCCCGAGACAGUCACAUUGGAAUGUGGAGAGAGGCUGUACAAUUCAGUCCAUAGUACGAGUUGGCUGGAUGGUUUAUACCACUAAUGAGCCCUUUAAAUAACUGCAGCAUGGAGGGACCCUGAGACUCAGACUCUGACCUUGGUCAUUGCUUCACAGACACCAUAUCCAGAGAACUUGACUCUAACCUGGACUUCUGUUAUUGUGGGAGCAAAUACUUCAUGGAGGCUUGUUUUCCCACGAGCCAGGCACGAUAAAUGGAUCCAGCAGAAGUGAACGAAACCGAAACCCAGGCUACAGUUCUGUAUAUCCUGGAGCACCCAGAAUGAUGCAGACCCUUCAAGUUUCUUAGUUUACUACUUUGGGGAUAUUUUGAAGAGAUUUUUUUUUCUUCUUCUUCUUCAUAACCUCAAGGCCAAUGUUUCAGAGUUGAACUGCAAAUGUAUUCUGCUAUGGCCAGAGAUUCAUGGAUAUUUCAGCUACUUCUUAGGCUGUUCAAUUUCCUGUUUCAUUGAUCAGAGAGACCAUCCUUGUCCACACAGGAAUUGCAAGGUUUUUGUAGUAAUAGGAUCUAACAAUCUACAGCAGGUAGAAUAGUUCCUCUUGAUCUUCGUCUGAGAAGUCCCCCUGUCAGGAGGUAAGCAGAAGACAAAACCACUGUACGAAUUGGAUUCCUACGCCUUAUGGGUGCUCCAGGAUAUACAGAACUGUACAAAGCUAGAGGUCCCGAAGUCGGCUUUACAGAAAGCAGGGACGUGGCUAUAAUUGGGCUCUAGCCCCAAGGGAGUUUAGCUUGAGUUUUAUGUGAAUACAUCCCUGGGUUCUGUUGCCUAACUAUAAACAAACAAAUGAAUCAAUAGCAGCCAUGUAUUAGCCAUUGAGUCAGAGGUGAAUUUCAUGUGCAGUAUGUAAAGGACAUGUGCCGGUGUCUUCUCCUGGACACUGUGUCAUCUUUAUGUUUGCUGUGGAAUUAUGACAUUGGAAAAUUGGUGCCCCCCUUAAGGUCCUCCAAGGGAAAGGAACUCAUGAGCAGUUUGCUAAGGGACUGCCUGUCAACUUGGACUCAUCACGGUUUCUUGCCUUCUCUCUACCUGUUUUCUGUUUAGACAUCACUGCCUUCGUCUGGCUGUCACCAACAUGUGGCCUGGCCUAUAACAGUGGCUGUACCUGAGUCUCUAAUCCCUCCUCCAAUCAGUUGCUUCUUGGAAAAUGAAAGCAUAUGUCUGAACGUGUUCUUUUCCUGCAGGUGCCUGUGUUGGUCUCUGUCCAGUCUUCUUGCUCAGGGAGCCACACACUCCUUCAGAGUGACAACAAGAUACCUCACAAAUUGCAGACUAAGCCAAGCAUUUAACGGCUAAUAGUUCUGUGGGGAGACUCAAGAGAUAACUGGUGUUGGUGUUGACCAGAGAGAGCUAGCUCAGAGGGUGUUACAAAGAGAGAGCUAGUUCAGAGGUGGUUGCAAAGAAUGUGUUCAUAACCCCCCAGCCCUCAUUCUCUCUCUUCCACGAUACUCCUCUUUGCCCCUUUGCCUCACCCUGUUCUCCCUUUGCUCUGAUGGCUUAGGUGGAUGAGUAGAUGGGGUUGAUAUCUGCUCCUGAGUUGGUCACUUGCUGCUGUACCCUGAGUUGAUUUCCUCAGCACAUCUGGGAACAUCUGCCUACACUGAAGACUUUCUGAGCUUGGAGGAGCAUUCAGUCUAUAGUGUCCAACAUAGCUCCUGGGGCUUAGCCAUUGCUUCUUCAAUGGUGGUGGUUUGCUUGAGCACAUUUUCAUAUUCUACUACUCUCAAAAACUCACUUAAAAGUUUUUUUUUCCCCACCCCAACCCCAGACUUGCAUAUUGGCUCUUGGAAAAGUCUGUUCAGUGAAUACCUUGAUGCCCUUGUCUCUCAGGAAGCCAUCAUAUAUAUUUGUGGCUAUAAAUUCCUACCUUCCUAUCCUGCAACAGACUUUACAAGGUGGUAAGCAAGAGAUUCUUUCAAUGUGUAUUUAAAAGUCAAAUUAAAAUUCCAGCUUCCGUAUUUUCAUUUUCUUGGAUUUUGAUGCUGUUUGUGUAGAGAAUAAAAAAAGAAUGUAAAGAUAGUCGAGACAGAUUACAUUUAUGUCUUAGUUUGGGUUUCUAUUGCUAUGGUGAUAGAGCACCAUGACCAAAAGCAACCAGGGGAGGAAAGGGCUUAUUUCAUCUUGCAUCUUGUAAUCUGUGAUUCAAGGAUAGGAAAUCAAGGCAGAAACCUCGAUGUGGGACCUGAUUACAGAGGCUGUGGAGGAGUGCUACCUACUGACUUGCUCCUCGUGGCAUGUUUUCUUAUACAUUCAAGGACCAUCUGCCUAGGGGCAGCACCACCACAUCAAUUAUUAAUUGAGAAAAUACCCCACUGGUUUGCCAAUAGGUCAGUCUGAUGGGAGAGUCUUUCUCAAUUGAAAAAGAUUCCUUCUUCCCAAAUGACUAGCUUGUGUCAAGCUGACAAAAGA
Molecule: long non-coding RNA, 2550 nt
Organism: Mus caroli (Ryukyu mouse)
Lineage: Eukaryota; Metazoa; Chordata; Mammalia; Rodentia; Muridae
Source: RefSeq, a predicted model, not a curated record